AGAGAAAUAGUUUAAAUAAAACACUUGAUUUGCAAUUAAUAAAUGCCCAGCUUUUUCUA
This 59-nucleotide transfer RNA is filed under the name Stygobromus foliatus. Its description in RNAcentral is "tRNA-Ala". Lineage: Eukaryota; Metazoa; Arthropoda; Malacostraca; Amphipoda; Crangonyctidae. The record is from RNAcentral.